This 465-nucleotide ribosomal RNA is filed under the name Vreelandella stevensii. RNAcentral describes it as "partial 16S ribosomal RNA". It matches the Rfam family "Bacterial small subunit ribosomal RNA", at positions 338 to 795 of the family's 1533-position model. The record is from RNAcentral. Lineage: Bacteria; Pseudomonadati; Pseudomonadota; Gammaproteobacteria; Oceanospirillales; Halomonadaceae.
CCUACGGGCGGCUGCAGUGGGGAAUAUUGGACAAUGGGGGGAACCCUGAUCCAGCCAUGCCGCGUGUGUGAAGAAGGCCCUCGGGUUGUAAAGCACUUUCAGUGAGGAAGAACACCUGGUGGUUAAUACCCAUCAGGAAAGACAUCACUCACAGAAGAAGCACCGGCUAACUCCGUGCCAGCAGCCGCGGUAAUACGGAGGGUGCGAGCGUUAAUCGGAAUUACUGGGCGUAAAGCGCGCGUAGGUGGCUUGAUAAGCCGGUUGUGAAAGCCCCGGGCUCAACCUGGGAACGGCAUCCGGGACUGUCAAGCUAGAGUGCAGGAGAGGAAGGUAGAAUUCCCGGUGUAGCGGUGAAAUGCGUAGAGAUCGGGAGGAAUACCAGUGGCGAAGGCGGCCUUCUGGACUGACACUGACACUGAGGUGCGAAAGCGUGGGUAGCAAACAGGAUUAGAUACCCUUGUAGUC